This 602-nucleotide ribosomal RNA is filed under the name uncultured prasinophyte. Its description in RNAcentral is "SSU rRNA". It matches the Rfam family "Eukaryotic small subunit ribosomal RNA", at positions 614 to 1230 of the family's 1831-position model. Lineage: Eukaryota; Viridiplantae; Chlorophyta. The record is from RNAcentral.
UGCAGUUAAAGCUCGUAGUUGGAUUUUGGUUAAGAGGGCGCGGUCGGCCGUUUGGUCUGUACUGCGUUGUCUUGACUUCCUGAUGAGGACAUGCUCUUGGUUAACGCUGAGACAUGGAGUCAUCGUGGUUACUUUGAAAAAAUUAGAGUGUUCAAAGCGGGCUUACGCUUGAAUAUAUUAGCAUGGAAUAACACUAUAGGACUCCUGUCCUAUCUCGUUGGUCUCGGGAUGGGAGUAAUGAUUAAGAGGAACAGUUGGGGGCAUUCGUAUUUCAUUGUCAGAGGUGAAAUUCUUGGAUUUAUGAAAGACGAACUUCUGCGAAAGCAUUUGCCAAGGAUGUUUUCAUUAAUCAAGAACGAAAGUUGGGGGCUCGAAGAUGAUUAGAUACCAUCCUAGUCUCAACCAUAAACGAUGCCGACUAGGGAUUGGUGGAUGUUAAUUGAUGACUUCACCAGCACCUUAUGAGAAAUCAAAGUUUUUGGGUUCCGGGGGGAGUAUGGUCGCAAGGCUGAAACUUAAAGGAAUUGACGGAAGGGCACCACCAGGCGUGGAGCCUGCGGCUUAAUUUGACUCAACACGGGGAAACUUACCAGGUCCAGACA